Molecule: ribosomal RNA, 504 nt
Filed under: uncultured bacterium
Lineage: Bacteria
Description: partial 16S ribosomal RNA
Rfam family: Bacterial small subunit ribosomal RNA
Source: RNAcentral
GAUAAACGCUAGCGGCAGGCUUAACACAUGCAAGUCGAGGGGCAGCAUAGAUUGUAGCAAUACAAUUGGUGGCGACCGGCGCACGGGUGCGUAACGCGUAUGCAACCUACCCGUCACAGGGGGAUAAUCCGGAGAAAUCUGGUCUAAUACCCCAUAACAUAUGGAUCGGCAUCGGUUCAUGUUGAAAUUUUCGGAGGUGACGGAUGGACAUGCGUAGCAUUAGCUUGUUGGUGAGGUAACGGCUCACCAAGGCGACGAUGCUUAGGGGGACUGAGAGGUUUUCCCCCCACACUGGUACUGAGACACGGACCAGACUCCUACGGGAGGCAGCAGUGAGGAAUAUUGGUCAAUGGGCGCAAGCCUGAACCAGCCAUGCCGCGUGCAGGAUGGCGGCUCUAUGAGUUGUAAACUGCUUUUGUACGAGGGUAAAGUGGGUUACGUGUAACCUUUUGAAAGUAUCGUACGAAUAAGGAUCGGCUAACUCUGUGCCAGCCGCCGCGGUAA